AUUGAACGCUGGCGGCAUGCUUUACACAUGCAAGUCGAACGGUAACAGGCCUUCGGGUGCUGACGAGUGGCGAACGGGUGAGUAAUGCAUCGGAACGUACCCAGAGGUGGGGGAUAACGCAGCGAAAGCCGUGCUAAUACCGCAUGUGAUCUGAGGAUGAAAGCGGGGGACCGAGCAGCAAUGUUUGGCCUCGCGCCUUUGGAGCGGCCGAUGUCGGAUUAGCUAGUUGGUGGGGUAAAGGCCUACCAAGGCGACGAUCCGUAGCUGGUCUGAGAGGACGACCAGCCACACUGGGACUGAGACACGGCCCAGACUCCUACGGGAGGCAGCAGUGGGGAAUUUUGGACAAUGGGCGCAAGCCUGAUCCAGCAAUGCCGCGUGCGGGAAGAAGGCCUUCGGGUUGUAAACCGCUUUUGGCAGGAACGAAACGGUGUCCGCUAAUACCGGGCGCUAAUGACGGUACCUGCAGAAUAAGCACCGGCUAACUACGUG
Molecule: ribosomal RNA, 492 nt
Filed under: uncultured bacterium
Lineage: Bacteria
Description: partial 16S ribosomal RNA
Rfam family: Bacterial small subunit ribosomal RNA
Source: RNAcentral